UGUAAUAUGAAACCUGUUCUACAAAGUCAUGACCUGCUCUACCCCUUAAAUGAUUGACCCUGACUCUUCCUCAAGUUUCUCAGAAAGAAAAGCAUGCCGUGGGUAUUUCUUCUAAACCUUUGACUGAUCCAUAGGUAAGUUCCAGGCAAAAGACUUGAUAUAAUACCAACCCACUUUAAGGUAAUUUCUCAGAAACCCAAGAAGCCCUGCUCUGAUUUACUCUGAUAUAACAAAUUCCCACCGUGACUUAGAAUUGAUCAAUUUUCUGAAACUGUGACAUCCCUCUGGAUUGUUACAGUUGAUUCAUUCAUAUUGUGGAAGCAAAAAUGGGUUCCUAUUACAUUGUAAAGCAAGAAGACUCUGGGGAUGGGUUUAAACUACUGGUGAUAUUGCUCUUGGCAAUGAUGUUUAUGAUGUUAUGUAUGAGUAAUCCCAGGCCUCGUCCACGUAGAGGGCAUUUUGUCAUCUGCACACCUGCUCAUUUGCAUUGACAGGAGAAAAAUUCAGGGGAUCUUGUGACAGUUUAGUUGAAAGGAUUUUCUGAUACUUUAAUAAAAGACAACCAGAGAGCUGUUAGUUACAGCCAUAGUGCUGUGGAUUCUUGUGGUCGUAUCUUUGCUCUUUGCUGAUCUUUAGGUUUCAUUGUUGUAUGCCGUCUUCUCUUUGUAAAAGGGUUUGGGCCCUUUCAAAAAGACCCUUUUUAUCUUCAAUAAUGAAAAGACAGAAAUUCCAGACA
Cryptomeria japonica (Japanese cedar) is the source of this 736-nucleotide long non-coding RNA. RefSeq lists it as uncharacterized. NCBI's taxonomy places the organism in Eukaryota, Viridiplantae, Streptophyta, Pinopsida, Cupressales, Cupressaceae. The transcript has 2 exons. The record is from RefSeq and is a predicted model, not a curated record.